AACGAACGCUGGCGGCAGGCCUAACACAUGCAAGUCGAGCGAGAUCUUCGGGUCUAGCGGCGGACGGGUGAGUAACGCGUGGGAAUAUGCCCUUCUCUGCGGAAUAGCCUCGGGAAACUGAGCGUAAUACCGCAUACGCCCUUUGGGGGAAAGAUUUAUCGGAGAAGGAUUAGCCCGCGUUGGAUUAGGUAGUUGGUGGGGUAACGGCCUACCAAGCCGACGAUCCAUAGCUGGUUUGAGAGGAUGAUCAGCCACACUGGGACUGAGACACGGCCCAGACUCCUACGGGAGGCGGCAGUGGGGAAUCUUAGACAAUGGGGGCAACCCUGAUCUAGCCAUGCCGCGUGAGUGAUGAAGGCCUUAGGGUUGUAAAGCUCUUUCAGCUGGGAAGAUAAUGACGGUACCAGCAGAAGAAGCCCCGGCUAACUCCGU
Molecule: ribosomal RNA, 432 nt
Filed under: uncultured bacterium
Lineage: Bacteria
Description: partial 16S ribosomal RNA
Rfam family: Bacterial small subunit ribosomal RNA
Source: RNAcentral